Molecule: ribosomal RNA, 371 nt
Filed under: uncultured bacterium
Lineage: Bacteria
Description: bacterial SSU rRNA
Rfam family: Bacterial small subunit ribosomal RNA
Source: RNAcentral
GGAGGAUGCAAGCGUUAUCCGGAAUCAUUGGGCGUAAAGCGUCCGCAGGUGGUCAAUCGUGUCGGCUGUCAAAGACAGAAGCUCAACUUCUGAGAGGCAGUGGAAACUGGUUGACUAGAGUACGGUAGGGGUCGAGGGAAUUCCCAGUGUAGCGGUGAAAUGCGUAGAGAUUGGGAAGAACACCAGUGGCGAAGGCGCUCGACUGGGCCGUAACUGACACUCAGGGACGAAAGCUAGGGUAGCGAAAGGGAUUAGAUACCCCUGUAGUCUUAGCUGUAAACGAUGAACACUAGGCGUUGCUUGUAUCGACCCGAGCAGUGCCGUAGCCAACGCGUUAAGUGUUCCGCCUGGGGAGUACGCAGGCAACUGUG